RNAcentral lists this ribosomal RNA (2222 nucleotides) under Triticum aestivum (bread wheat). RNAcentral describes it as "partial small subunit ribosomal RNA". The record is from RNAcentral. Lineage: Eukaryota; Viridiplantae; Streptophyta; Magnoliopsida; Poales; Poaceae.
UGCAAUUUACAUGAGAAUGCCACCACCAAGUCAAUCCUUGCGUACUGAUUCGCCCGACGCGCUUUCCCGUCGCCCAGCUUCUCUUCUCCCCUCGUCCCCUUUCUCCCCCAUCUGUAACCCUAGGAGGGCGCCGCCGGCCGCUGCCACCCAUCCAACGCGGCGCCGGUGCUCCGCCGCGCCCCCGCAGGUUCCCCGUCCCAUACUCACUGCAUUCGCCACCCCAUCUCCUCCUUCCCCCGCCCAUCCUCAGCGCACCCGGACGCCCGAUCCUACCUCAGCUCCCUCCGUCGCUCGUCGCCGGCACCCGGUUGACCUGCUCCGUCGAGCUUGCCGCCGGAUCCACACCAGAGAGCUCACUUCUCCUAGCUCCCUUCCCAUGCCGGCUUCCUGUUCCUGGGCUAUUUCGAGUUUGUACAGUGUCUGGAGCUGCUCCCUGCUGCCGAACGAAUCUCUGCUCCCGUCAGAAGCUGUCUGCGGCUGGCUUCGCGAGAAGCAGGCUAUUUCCAGAAGCUGGAGAGGAUCCGAACGGGCCCUUACUCUCUUGAAACCAGAUUGAUUUUCUGCAUUACAAUCUCCCUCUUUUUUUUAUUCAGGCGUGAGGACAAAGAACCAAAUGUCUUGACCUCGAAGGGGCUGCUUGGCACUACAACACUGGAGGAGUCAAUCACUAACGCCUCCUCUCUGCUGCAGCCUACACUGCAUGAGGACAGAGAACCAAAUGUCCUGGCCUCGAAGGAGCUGCUUGACACUACAACACUGGAGUCAAUCACUAACGCUUCCUCUCCGCUGCAGCCUACACCAUUGCAGCCAGAUAUGUUGUCAUCCAAGGACGCUUCCUCCACAUGGGCAGAGGAGGUGACUCACUCGCUGACGCCGCCCAUUUUGGCCCGGAAACCUGCCGGUUGGAAUCAUCAAUUUUUCAUCAGAGUAGAUCUUGGGGGAUUUUUCCACACAUAUCCUGAGCUGGGUGGGCCGUUCCGGAGCUUGGAGGAAGCUAACAAGGCUAUACUCUGCCACCUUGAAAAACUACGUGAUCGGAAAAUGUGCACAAACGAUGGGCUUUCCAGUUCGGAGAUUGCUAUAUGAGAUGCUCUUCACUGGCCAGAUGGCACGAGGAAGUAUUCUUCGAGAUCCAAUCCGGAUGAAGAUCAUAUGGGGCUAUUGAUUCAAGCUUUGUUGGACAAGUACAAUGAGGAGAAUAAUCUUUUGGGGGAUGAUGCAUAUAAUGUUGAAAAUGUCGUGAGCUUCCAAGAAGUUUAUGAGGGCAAAGGUGGCUGGUACUAUCAUCUGAAUUGUACUAGAAAGACUAAAGGUGGCGUCGACAAUCUCUUCUUUGCCGAAGUCUUGAGAAUGAAUAGAGGACUACAAUUCAAGCUCACCUGUCUCCAUAUGGUUAAACCUGCUGUUGAUAACGGUACAUGCUAUGGUUGUAAAAAAACCAAUGUUAGUAUGAAGCACCCCAUUGACGCUGGUAAAUACAAAGGUGGCCACGAUCCCUUGUGGCCACCACGGCUUUGCGUGGUUCUUCCACCGGAUUUGCCUGAGGGUUUUGAUGCUAAGAUGAAAGCUAUGGAGGAAAGGAUUAGAUAUCAAUUCCAGGACUGAUGUGUUGAUAUCGGAUGCUGGAAGAACUGUUGCUGCUGAUGGUUUGGACAAGAGCCAGCUGGGAAGAAGGGGCUUCCCAGCUGCUGAUGCUAGGAUUAACAAGGAAAGGAUUGGAUAUGUAUACGGGGACCGUGAUGUGGCAAAAUCGGAUGCUGGAAGGCCUGCUGCUGGUUUGGAGGGAAAUUGGGGCACGUACGUUAUACCGCCGAUGCGUCUGAAGGUUUGAGAAGAUGGACCUGACUGUCUAUCAGUUUGGAAUUACUGUCCGAUGGUCUAACAAAAAAGUGGUUAUGGGACAGUUAAAGUUUUAUUUUGCAUGUCUUUGAAUCACGUAGCUGGAUCAUCGUUUUCUAGCAUGUGUGGUACAUCCAAAUAUGCAAGUAAGACGAAUUGCAAGUUUUAUUUUGCAAGACUAGCCUGGCGUAAAUCCAAGUUGUUAGGUUGGCUUUUAAACAGCGACGCACAUGUACAGCUCCCAAAUUUGGUCCUUGACCAAUCUUGUAUAAGAAACCCUUAAAUAAACGGCGACGCACAUGCACCGAAUAAUCUGUACUUGCCAAUUAAUUAGAAAAUGCUUGUGUCGCUCACACUGGACGCAGCGCGGGCUGUAAAGGCAC